RNAcentral lists this ribosomal RNA (252 nucleotides) under uncultured bacterium. Its description in RNAcentral is "partial 16S ribosomal RNA". It matches the Rfam family "Bacterial small subunit ribosomal RNA", at positions 524 to 776 of the family's 1533-position model. The record is from RNAcentral.
UACGUAGGGUGCGAGCGUUAAUCGGAAUUACUGGGCGUAAAGCGUGCGCAGGCGGCGCGUUAAGACAGUGUGAAAGCCCCGAGCUUAACUUGGGAAUUGCGCUUGUGACUGGCGUGCUGGAGUGUGGCAGAGGGAGGUGGAAUUCCACGUGUAGCAGUGAAAUGCGUAGAGAUGUGGAGGAACACCGAUGGCGAAGGCAGCCUCCUGGGCCAGCACUGACGCUCAUGCACGAAAGCGUGGGGAGCAAACAGG